Molecule: ribosomal RNA, 492 nt
Filed under: uncultured bacterium
Lineage: Bacteria
Description: partial 16S ribosomal RNA
Rfam family: Bacterial small subunit ribosomal RNA
Source: RNAcentral
AGUGAACGCUGGCGGUAGGCCUAACACAUGCAAGUCGAACGGCAGCACAGUAAGAGCUUGCUCUUACGGGUGGCGAGUGGCGGACGGGUGAGGAAUACAUCGGAAUCUACUUUUUCGUGGGGGAUAACGUAGGGAAACUUACGCUAAUACCGCAUACGACCUCCGGGUGAAAGCAGGUGAUCUUCGGACCUUGCGCGAUUGAAUGAGCCGAUGUCGGAUUAGCUAGUUGGCGGGGUAAAGGCCCACCAAGGCGACGAUCCGUAGCUGGUCUGAGAGGAUGAUCAGCCACACUGGAACUGAGACACGGUCCAGACGACUACGGGAGGCAGCAGUGGGGAAUAUGGGGCAAUGGGCGCAAGCCUGAUCCAGCCAUACCGCGUGGGUGAAGAAGGCCUUCGGGUUGUAAAGCCCUUUUGUUGGGAAAGAAAAGCAGCAGGUUAAUACCCCGCUGUUCUGACGGUACCCAAAGAAUAAGCACCGGCUAACUUCGUG